This is a long non-coding RNA of Pecten maximus, 1031 nucleotides long. RefSeq lists it as uncharacterized. NCBI's taxonomy places the organism in Eukaryota, Metazoa, Mollusca, Bivalvia, Pectinida, Pectinidae. The record is from RefSeq and is a predicted model, not a curated record. The transcript is spliced from 3 exons.
UGAUUGUGUGCUUAAAUAUGGUAUUUGUACCAUAUUUAUUCACAUACUAGAAACUAUCCCCACUGGCUAAAUAGCUAUGGGGAGAAUACAAUUUGUUUAUAUCGUUACAUCAAUGUAUUUUUAGUUGUGUGCUUCCUGUAUCUGAUAUUAUAUGUAAAUUAAUUGAUGUACAAAAUCUGAUGACCUUUCAAGCAUUGUAUAGAUUUUGCCACUUGCUUUACUCAAACUUGACUCGUACUUCUUUUUUCGGAAAUCAGUACGUUCCAAUAUGCAAGUAAAAUGUUAGUGUUUUUGAAAUAUCAAUUAUUGAAUUCUAUGGAACUAGUAUGAAUUUGUGAUCAGAUACGAACAUUCAACUUACUGUACUUUCCGUAAGUUAGUCACUUGCUUAUAUCACACCAAUGAUUCUCAUGUAUUGUUAAAUAUUUGCCAGAAAAUUUGUUAAAACUUGAAAACAUACUUCAAAGGAUUUUGAUGUGUAUGACCUGUCAUGUAUCGGAUACUUAAUUAGAGCGAUUGCAAAAGAUGCAUGUUUACAACUUUGAUUCAAGGACAUACCUGAAAAGUGUAUCACUGGAAAUAUCUAUUAACUGACAUUUGAUACAACAAAGUGCCGAUGAAUAAUGAAACUGAUCAACAAAAAAGAACCACAACAAAGUGCUAAUGAAUGUCAAGGAAAUAAAUAAAAACAUCAAAACUACACAAGCCAUUUGGAAAUACUUGGGUACUGGACAAUCAUUUCCUCCAUGUAACUACCACCAAUGAUCAGAUCCUUUGUACUGGCCACAGACCUAAAUCACUAUCAGGAAUAGAACAGACCAACCAAUAUGAAAACAAAACAAAACAAAACAGUAGUAUGUAGACAGAUUCCAGACACAGACAACAGUUUUCUAAGACGUACAUCCCUACUUACAAUCCACAUGAAAUCACUCUUGGAGUCAUCCAAUAUUUAACCAGUUGUGUUCUGCAAGACCAAACAAGUCUUUGUGUCGGUUUCAAUUCAUCUCUAAUUGUACAAUGCAAACAUUACU